RNAcentral lists this ribosomal RNA (907 nucleotides) under uncultured bacterium. RNAcentral describes it as "bacterial SSU rRNA". It matches the Rfam family "Bacterial small subunit ribosomal RNA", at positions 22 to 919 of the family's 1533-position model. The record is from RNAcentral.
GCUCAGGAUGAACGCUAGCUACAGGCUUAACACAUGCAAGUCGAGGGGAAACGAUAGAGAAAGCUUGCUUUUUCUAGGCGUCGACCGGCGCACGGGUGAGUAACGCGUAUCCAACCUGCCCAUCACUUGGGGAUAACCUUGCGAAAGUAAGACUAAUACCCAAUGGCGUCUCUAGAAGACAUCUGAAGGAGAUUAAAGAUUUAUCGGUGAUGGAUGGGGAUGCGUCUGAUUAGCUUGUUGGCGGGGUAACGGCCCACCAAGGCGACGAUCAGUAGGGGUUCUGAGAGGAAGGUCCCCCACAUUGGAACUGAGACACGGUCCAAACUCCUACGGGAGGCAGCAGUGAGGAAUAUUGGUCAAUGGACGAGAGUCUGAACCAGCCAAGUAGCGUGCAGGAUGACGGCCCUAUGGGUUGUAAACUGCUUUUAUAAGGGAAUAAAGUGAGAGUCGUGACUCUUUUUGCAUGUACCUUAUGAAUAAGGACCGGCUAAUUCCGUGCCAGCAGCCGCGGUAAUACGGAAGGUCCGGGCGUUAUCCGGAUUUAUUGGGUUUAAAGGGAGCGUAGGCCGGAGAUUAAGCGUGUUGUGAAAUGUAGACGCUCAACGUCUGCACUGCAGCGCGAACUGGUUUCCUUGAGUACGCACAAAGUGGGCGGAAUUCGUGGUGUAGCGGUGAAAUGCUUAGAUAUCACGAAGAACUCCGAUUGCGAAGGCAGCUCACUGGAGCGCAACUGACGCUGAAGCUCGAAAGUGCGGGUAUCGAACAGGAUUAGAUACCCUGGUAGUCCGCACGGUAAACGAUGGAUGCCCGCUGUUGGUCUGAAUAGGUCAGCGGCCAAGCGAAAGCAUUAAGCAUCCCACCUGGGGAGUACGCCGGCAACGGUGAAACUCAAAGGAAUUGACGGAAG